Molecule: ribosomal RNA, 489 nt
Filed under: uncultured bacterium
Lineage: Bacteria
Description: partial 16S ribosomal RNA
Rfam family: Bacterial small subunit ribosomal RNA
Source: RNAcentral
GACGAACGCUAGCGGCGUGCUUAACACAUGCAAGUCGAACGGUGAAGGGAUCAGCUUGCUGGUUCUGGAUGAGUGGCGAACGGGUGAGUAACACGUGCGUAACCUGCCCCCUUCUUCUGGAUAACCGCAUGAAAGUGUGGCUAAUACGGGAUAUUCUGCGCCUGCUGCCUGGUGGGUGUGGGAAAGAAAUUGUUUCGGUGGGGGAUGGGCUCGCGGCCUAUCAGCUUGUUGGUGGGGUGAUGGCCUACCAAGGCGGUGACGGGUAGCCGGCCUGAGAGGGUGGACGCUCACACUGGGACUGAGACACGGCCCAGACUCCUACGGGAGGCAGCAGUGGGGAAUAUUGCACAAUGGGCGCAAGCCUGAUGCAGCGACGCCGCGUGAAGGAUGGAGGCCUUCGGGUUGUGAACCUCUUUCGCCAGUGAAGUAGGCCUGUCCCUUGUGGGUGGGUUGACGGUAGCUGGAUAAGAAGCGCCGGCUAACUACGUG